Molecule: long non-coding RNA, 872 nt
Organism: Dendroctonus ponderosae (mountain pine beetle)
Lineage: Eukaryota; Metazoa; Arthropoda; Insecta; Coleoptera; Curculionidae
Exons: 3
Source: RefSeq, a predicted model, not a curated record
AAGACUUCGUGAACGCUAGACGUUGAUUUUGCCUUAAGAGAUAGUAAUUUUGAGUUGGUCUUAUUUCGUAACAUUAUUAUGAUAUAAAAUUUAAUUACCAUAAAAGAUGCUAAGAAGGCUGAAUACAAUAUCGGAAUGUUUCGUUCGAAAAGUGAUUGAUAAAUAUGUAGAUCAUUUUCAAUGAUAACUGCGAUCACAGAUUUUGAUAAUAUCACUAGAAAUAAAUAAGGUAUAUGAUUGCUUAUAUAUGUUUACCUUAAUUCGUUAAUUCCAGUUCAACAAACCGAAACGCACAUAUAGUUACAUUUAGUACGUAUCACUUUUCGUGUGAUUUUUUCAGGAAGACAAGGCAAUUAUUAAGUCUAUUCAAAUUCUUGAUCGAUAGAUCAAUAAGGGGGUUUAUAGUUGAUGAUAAUAUAAGCCAACUGCACCGGACCGCGCCCAGGUUCCUUCAUCAAUUUGCCUUUAAAGCACAAGGAAGUACAAGAUUUACCACCUGAUGAGUACUAACAGUUUAAAAACCGGUCAUAUGGAUAUUUGAAACCGGUAGAAUUGAGCUUCGACGCCUUUGUUUCCGUUGGAGAGGCUUGGCACAAUUAUCACCACGCCUUCUCUUGGGACUACCGGGCGGCCGAAUUGGGCUCCAAAUACAGCAUUACCACUUUUGUCAUCGGACGCCCUGGCCUACGACCUCAAAUCCACCCCCAUCACAUGGUGAAAAGGUGAAUGUUUUACCCAAAUCCCCCGUUAUUUGAACGCUCAAAUUUGGCUUGGAUUUAGGAGAAUCGAGCGCACCGACGAUGGUUCGCAUCCCAUCUUCGGCCCUCAUGCCGAAAAGCUAGAGUCGACCGGAAAACUGGAUGAUGUGGAUA